Molecule: ribosomal RNA, 446 nt
Filed under: uncultured bacterium
Lineage: Bacteria
Description: bacterial SSU rRNA
Rfam family: Bacterial small subunit ribosomal RNA
Source: RNAcentral
UCGAGGAUCUUCGGCAAUGGACGCAAGUCUGACCGAGCGACGCCGCGUGUGGGAUGAAGGCCUUCGGGUUGUAAACCACUGUCAGAGGGGAUGAAAUGCGUGGGGGUUCUCCCCCACGUUUGACAUAUCCUCAGAGGAAGUGUGGGCUAAGUUCGUGCCAGCAGCCGCGGUAAGACGAACCACACGAACGUUAUUCGGAAUCACUGGGCUUAAAGGGUGCGUAGGCUGCGCAGCAAGUUGGGUGUGAAAUCCCUCGGCUCAACCGAGGAACUGCGCCCAAAACUGCUGUGCUCGAGGGAGACAGAGGUGAGCGGAACUUAGGGUGGAGCGGUGAAAUGCGUUGAUAUCCUAAGGAACACCCGUGGCGAAAGCGGCUCACUGGGUCUCUUCUGACGCUGAGGCACGAAAGCUAGGGUAGCGAACGGGAUUAGAUACCCCCGUAGUCC